This 468-nucleotide ribosomal RNA is filed under the name uncultured bacterium. RNAcentral describes it as "partial 16S ribosomal RNA". It matches the Rfam family "Bacterial small subunit ribosomal RNA", at positions 28 to 507 of the family's 1533-position model. The record is from RNAcentral.
GACGAACGCUGGCGGCGUGCUUAACACAUGCAAGUCGAACGGACAGGCCCUGCGUUUGCGGGGUGCUCGUGUGGCGAACGGGUGAGUAACACGUGAGUAACCUGUCCUUGACUUUCGGAUAACUUCAGGAAACUGCGGCUAAUACCGGGUAGGAGCUCCUGCUGCAUGGUGGGGGUUGGAAAGAUUCGGCGGUUGGGGAUGGACUGGCGGCUUAUGAGCUUGAUGGUGGGGUAGUGACAUACAAAGGCUUUGACGGCUAGCCGGCCUUAGAGGGGGACCGGGCUCCAUGCGCCUGCGAUAGGGCCCAGUAUGCAACGGGAGGCAGCAGUCGAGAGUAUUGCACAAUGGGCGGGAGCCUGAUACAGCAACCCCGGGUGCGGGAUGACGGCUUUCGGGUUAAGAACAUCUUUCGCCUGUGCCGAAGCGUGAGUGACGGUAAUGAGUAAAGAAGCACCGGCUAACUACGUG